This 45-nucleotide unclassified non-coding RNA is filed under the name unidentified. RNAcentral's name for it is "LINKER V (GLY4SER)2GLY4VAL". The record is from RNAcentral.
GGUGGAGGCGGUUCAGGCGGAGGUGGCUCUGGCGGUGGCGGAGUC